UACGGAAUGUGCAACCGUUAUUCGGAAUCACUGGGCUUAAAGAGUCCGUAGGCGGCUUGUUAGGUGAGGUGUGAAAUCCCCCGGCUCAACCGAGGAAUUGCGCUUCAAACCGGCAAGCUUGAGGAGGAUAGAGGUGGGCGGAACUGAUGGUGGAGCGGUGAAAUGCGUUGAUAUCAUCAGGAACACCGGAGGCGAAAGCGGUCCACUGGGUCCUUUCUGACGCUGAGGGACGAAAGCUAGGGGAGCGAACGGG
This 253-nucleotide ribosomal RNA is filed under the name uncultured bacterium. RNAcentral's name for it is "partial 16S ribosomal RNA". It matches the Rfam family "Bacterial small subunit ribosomal RNA", at positions 524 to 776 of the family's 1533-position model. The record is from RNAcentral.